GAGCUGCUAAGCCUCCUUUGUGUGGCCUGUCUGAGGGAGCUGACAGGAGGGAGUGGUGGAGGAACGAAGUUUGGAUGCCUUGCUGCAGUAGUUAGCUCAGGAGACCCUGAGUCCUGAAGGGCUGGAUGGACACAGGGUCGACACAGUAAGAACAAGGGUUCUCUCUUGUAAGAACCGGGGACUCCCUGCGAGUCUACAGUUCCUCCAGUCAAUAAACAGGAUGGAGUGCCGACACCAGAGUCAGCGCAAGAGGACAGAUGGAUGUCCAUGGGACAUUUCCUCAUGUUGCAGAGACAUUUGGAUGGCUGUGUGGUACGGGAAGCCAGACAGGAGGUGGGGGUGGGGUGGGGGCAGAAUCAUUUGAGAAUAAAUCAUGGGCACUUCACUGCCUUAAGCUUCGAGAGUUAUCAAGGCAGGACUGGGGCAUUGCCAAGGCUUUAGAGUGUUCACGUAACGUGCUCAAAGCCCUGAUCACCUAAGCCUGGGUAUGGUGGCACAUGCCAGGAACCCCAGCUCUUUGGAAGUGGAAGGAGGAAGACUCACACUUCAUGGUCAUUCUUCGAUACAUACGAAUUCAAUUAGGGCCAACCUGGGCUACAGGAGACCAUGUGUCCAAAAUAAAUUACUGCCUAAGUAACGAAAUACACGUUGUUUGCAGAGCGAUGGCUGAGUGGCUUGAGCUUGGGCACAAAGCCACCCACCGGGAAGGCAGAGCCCCCAGGCUGAGGGCUGCAGCAGGGCGUCCCAAGUUGUUCUGCUACAUCCCACACUGAGAGCCAUUUCUCUGCUACAUCAACGCUUCUGCAGCCAAGUGCACGUUGUGAGGCUCGUCUUGCUGGCUUCCUAAUGGCCCCAUCAGUGGCUGGCCUGAAGAGAGAAGGACUUACUCACAUUGGACGGAUUUCUGCCUUCAUUCCUGUCCAGCUGCUGCGUAUGCUGACCUUCUGUAUGUAACCAAGUACCUCAGCCGGGAUGGACCCACGGACAGCAUCUUAUCAUCUCCCUGGGGAGGCUGAGCAAAGCCAAGAUGAGGGCACCAAUAGGCUGGUUGCUGGUAGUCUGUGGGAUUCCUUGACCUUUAAGAGUUGCUGGAUAAUCUCUGUCUUCAUUUAUUUUAUUUUAUUUUUUUAGAUUCUUGUGUAGUCCAGACUGGCCUUGAACUCCUUAUCUAGUCAGUGCAAGAUUUAUUUAAUUAACAAACAUAAUUACAGUUGGGUGGUAUAACAGGGCUUUAACUGACAUCUCUGAAGAGGAAAACUGGGGGCAGCUACCUUUAAAAAUAUUAAAAUUUAAGACAGUGAUUGUUUGUCAGACACACAUAUGACCAAAUUAUCCCCUGAAUUUAGGAAUGGACACAAUAUGUUUGUUUGCUUGCUUGUUUGUAGUUUUUGAGUCAAAGUCUUAUUCUCAAGCUUCAGACAUUGAACUUGUAAUUUUCUGCCUCAGUCUCCAUAGAACUGGGGCUCCAGGCAUUUACCACAACACCUGGCCAGUAUACAUACUUAAUACCUGUUAGAAAUAUUCUUUUCAGCUUAUUGGGAAAGUUAUAAUUCAUUUAGAAGAUGGUUGGUGUAAAAAUAGGGUGGACCUAAAAAACAAGUAAAUGCUCAUAUAAUAUAUUCAACUGAAACCUAAUGAAAAAUUUGUAUGACUUUGAAAUAGAGGCGAUUUUUAAAAAAAAAAAGUUUUAUUUAUACUUAUCAAUUCAUCUAGAGGGAGCAGGGCAUAUGUGUCACUGUGCACACAUGGAGAUCAAAGAGAAACUAUUGCUGUCAGCUCUUUUCUUCUACCAUGAGGUCUCUGAGACUCGAACUCAGGUCUUCAUACUUUGAGGCAAGAGACUUUACCC
RNAcentral lists this long non-coding RNA (1849 nucleotides) under Mus musculus (house mouse). RNAcentral's name for it is "long non-coding RNA chr6:81990742-81992591". The record is from RNAcentral. Lineage: Eukaryota; Metazoa; Chordata; Mammalia; Rodentia; Muridae.